AAAUGCCUGUUCUACUAAUUUACAGUGUAACUAGGUUACACCCAUUAGGCGGGUGAUCUAUGGUAGAAGGGAAUGAGCAUGAUAAAGGUGUACUAAAUAUAACUUGAACUUUCUUUUGGUUGUUACACACGAUGUGUAUAUGAGAUGAGAUAACUUUCAUACUUACAUUUGAAGUUACCUUACUAAGAACUAGUAUGUCAAAGACAUGGUUAUAUUAAAUAAUUUGCUCUAAAUGUAUGAAAAAGUGAGUUGAACGUGGAUAUUAACUUUGUAUGAUUCUCGUAUUGACGUUAUUGCAAUCUCACAUAUAAUGGUCGUAAUUCCUGAAGUUGUUCUUUGCUAGCUUUGCUCUUGGUUGGGUAAUCACGAAUUGUGCUAGCCUUGCAUCCUAUCCAAUUGACACUGUCCAUAGAAGAAUGAUGAUGACAUCUGGUGAAGCAGACUUGAGUUCCUUUGAUGCAUUCUCUCAAAUCCUCAAGAAUGAGGGUCCCAAAUCUCUCUUUAAGCAAAUAUACUUCAUCCUAGUCCCAUUGUCCUUCGUUGUCAAAGUGGUCUCAAUUUCACUUUGUUGGUUUUUUAUUCAUAUGCAAUUAUAAUUUGCUCAUUUUCAAACUAUUACCAAUUUCAAGUUUGGGAGAAGCUUUUACUGAACAUUGAUGAUCAUUGUCUCCAUAUCAUUUGUCUCCCAAGGUUUUGUUUGACCCUAGAUGUUAUUUGGUUUGGAAUUAUAUGUAUGCUUAUGUCAAACGUUAGGACACAAGGGUUGAUUUUAAGUAGAGGGACAAAUUAUGGCUCA
Molecule: long non-coding RNA, 796 nt
Organism: Juglans microcarpa x Juglans regia
Lineage: Eukaryota; Viridiplantae; Streptophyta; Magnoliopsida; Fagales; Juglandaceae
Exons: 2
Source: RefSeq, a predicted model, not a curated record